GUAUUUAUUGUUGGAAUCCCCUAGUUUGAUCCAUUUAGCUCUUGACUUUUGCUGCAAAGCUAACUCUUCAAUUAAUGACCAUUUCUCUAGCUGCUGUACCAUAGAUUUUGCUCUUUGCUGAAGUGUAUCUGAAUAAGAAAUAGCCAUUUGAUGCUGCACUUCUUCCAGUUCUUUCCUGCUGCUUUCAAUCUUCUGAGAAAUAUUCUUAAAA
This 211-nucleotide long non-coding RNA is filed under the name Nicotiana benthamiana. RNAcentral's name for it is "long non-coding RNA (NBEN_LNC011992)". The record is from RNAcentral. Lineage: Eukaryota; Viridiplantae; Streptophyta; Magnoliopsida; Solanales; Solanaceae.